RNAcentral lists this transfer RNA (91 nucleotides) under Euroglyphus maynei. It matches the Rfam family "tRNA". Rfam says of the family: Transfer RNA (tRNA) molecules are approximately 80 nucleotides in length. The record is from Rfam by way of RNAcentral. Lineage: Eukaryota; Metazoa; Arthropoda; Arachnida; Sarcoptiformes; Pyroglyphidae.
GCGUCGUUGGUUCAGUGGUAGAAUGCUCGCCUGCCAACAAUUUGUGGAUNGAAGUACGCGGGCGGCCCGGGUUCGAUUCCCGGACGACGCA